Megalobrama amblycephala (Wuchang bream) is the source of this 1711-nucleotide long non-coding RNA. RefSeq lists it as uncharacterized. NCBI's taxonomy places the organism in Eukaryota, Metazoa, Chordata, Actinopteri, Cypriniformes, Xenocyprididae. The transcript is spliced from 7 exons. The record is from RefSeq and is a predicted model, not a curated record.
UAUUGACAGCACGAGCGCUUCAUAUUGGCGGGAAGCUGCGAGCGAUUGACAGAUAGAAGCUGUCAGUAGUACGGCAAGCCUAUAGUGAGCAGUGUACGAAUUAUACAAUGGCUUUCAAAUGGUCGACUCUUUCAAAAGAGAGAAAUUCAAUAUGAAUCCUACUAUGAAGGUGAACGACAAUAAGGAAGAAAUUCAUCUGUGACAUGAGUGAAAAAGAGAUUAUGAGCUGAUUAUGUCUCUUUCUCUACGCUGCUGAAUCCCGUGUUAUUCCUGACUGAGCAAGUCGUCAGAUCAGACUCUGGCUAAAACUCCAGGUAAACAUCUUGGACUACAUGUUUGGCUAAACCAUGGCAGAUGGCAGACAGGUUGGAUGUUUAGCUGGGAAGACAAUAGCAGAGCACACACCUCUUUUGACACACGAGUAUAUCAGGUAGAAAUGAUAGAUAAUGGAGGUUUACACAGGAGAUCGCAAAGAGAGUGUGGGAUGGGAUUCACAAGAAGAUUGUAGGAGUCAACACAGAGAAUCACAAGGAGCUUCACAAGGUGAAGAUUUUUAGUAUUGGGGUGAGUGAGUGAGGUCGCUGAGUGGGCGUGACGUAGGAGCCUGGUGAAACCGUGACAGUUGGGUUGAUUCAUGACCUACAGCACUUGCCCCUCUUGUCACGCUGCUGGAAUUUCCGAAGCCGACGGGCCCACAGGUCCUUCCACGGGAUGAGCAGGCUGCCCUUGUCCGCCACCACGCCGCUCUGACCGCGAGAGUCGUCGUCGUCUGAGCCCAUGAGCAGGGCUCUUUCUUUGCGCUCUUGAAUGUGAACACUCUCUUUAGAGAGGGAGGCAAGGAUCGCCCCGAUUGCUGAAUGGAAUGUCCCAAUUGAGCAGCGGGGGGGAGGCUGCGAGCAAAUUGCACCCAAUUUUAGAGAACGCACUCCCACAGCCCCGCCAUUCAUCGCCUGUGUUUCUCUGGGCCAGAGCCCGCUUCGCCAUCCAAAUAACAAGAGAUAAAAAGAAAAGAAGGGUGUGCAGAGGGUAGCACGUCUGAGAGAGGAGGGGGGCCACUGUUUAUCAUCCCAACCACAGAGAAGGUGCCAGAAGAAUCGCGGAUGUGUUUCGACCUCAUGAGCUAUCUGAGCCCGGCCGGCGGUGCCCGGUCCAAGAGCAGCGUGAGAAUCCUGCUCCGGGUCUCGCUCUUGACCCGCUCUCGUUUCUUCACAGCGGGAGACGGCAGCGAGCCGAAACCUGACUCAAAAUGUGUUCUUGAGCUUAUUUAAGAAGGUUGAAAACAAUUGUUUUGACUCAUUAGUGGUGUUUGCUAAAUUGUGUUCGUACGUAUUAAACUUCGGCAUACAGCUUGUCCUGUGUAUUUUUGUUUUGUUUUUUCUGAUCAAAUUGGCUGCAAAGUUCCAUUUCGAAAGACAGAACUCAAUAUACCAUUGACUUAAUUGACUCUUUUUACUUGAUCCCAAAAGUAACCACUUAGAAACCAUUCAAAACACCUUAGCAACCAUAUAGCAACAUCCUCACAACCAUUUAGAAGGUUAGCAACCACAUAGUAUUGUCCUUGUGAUCACCUAGAAUCAGUGUUGGGAAAAGUUACUUUUAAAAGUAAUCCGUUAUAAUAUCGUGUUACUCCCUAAAAAGUAACUCAUUUAGUAUGGUUUAAUUGGAUCAUAUAUAUCAUAUAUACAUUUGAGUAAUUUAAUAUAUAUAAUUA